This 500-nucleotide ribosomal RNA is filed under the name Dorvillea rubrovittata. Its description in RNAcentral is "partial 16S ribosomal RNA". It matches the Rfam family "Archaeal large subunit ribosomal RNA", at positions 1901 to 2678 of the family's 2987-position model. The record is from RNAcentral. Lineage: Eukaryota; Metazoa; Annelida; Polychaeta; Eunicida; Dorvilleidae.
AAAAACAUAGCUCUUAGAACUCCAAUUAAGAGUAUUUCCUGCCCAGUGAAUUUAUUCAACGGCCGCGGUAUCCUGACCGUGCAAAGGUAGCAUAAUAAUUUGCCUCUUAAUUAGUGGCUAGUAUGAAUGGAAGCACGUGGUUUCAGCUAUUACGGACGCAACCAUAAAACCUAUCCUUUAGGUGAAGAGACCUAAAUUUUAAUAAAGGACAAGAAGACCCUGUCGAGCUUUAUAGGCACCUUUCUUAAAGAAAUAAACCUUAUUUGGUUGGGGCGACCCGAGAACACAUCUAACUUCUCAUAAAAUCAAGAUUGAAACAUCAUUACAAUGACCCUCCCAUGUCAUCUAAAAAGCUACCGCAGGGAUAACAGGCUAAUCCUCCUUAAGAGCCCAAAUUGACAGGAGGGUUUGGCACCUCGAUGUUGGCUUAAGAUCCCCCUUUAUCGCAGACGUUAAAACUGGUAGGCUUGUUCAGCCUUUAAAAUCUUACGUGAUCUGAG